AUGGUUCAGAAGAUAAGACAUCAGAUUCUGAGGCCAUUUUCAAAACUGUCACUAAAGAGAGAGACGAGUUGAAGAGGAAGCUGAGUAUCUUUGCUGAAUAUUCUCACGAAGGAUGGAUGUAUUUCAACAACAGUUUCUACUACAUUUCUUCACAAGAGAAAUCCUGGCAAGAAAGUAGAAGUUACUGUCUGCAGAGAGGUGCAGACAUGAUAAUUAUCAACAGCAAAGAAGAACAGGAGUUCAUGAGACGUUUCCAGAGGCUCGUGUGGAUCGGACUGACUGACAGAGAGACAGAGGGGAAGUGGAAAUGGGUGGAUGGGACUCAGCUGACGACAAGCUACUGGGGCCCCAAUGAGCCAAACAGUCAUAAAGGCACUGAUGAAGACUGCGGAGAAAUAAAAUUCUAUGAUGAUGAAAACAGCUGGAACGAUAAACCAUGUGAAUCUCAAAACAUCUGGAUCUGUGAAAAGACAAUAUCUCUGUAACUCAACAACCAAACUCCAAGACAACAACUGAAAUGUUGGUUAUGGCCAAGCUGCAGAUAACGUAGCUCAUUUCACUGCUUUAAUUGCUGAGAAUCAUAACAAGACUGUAAUAUAUUAUACUCUGAUUCAGUGGCUUCAUACUCAUUUUAAAUGCAAUGGAAAUGUAUCCAUUAAUUAAAGCCGCUGUGUGUGACUUUAGAAUUAUUUGUAUUUGUAUGUAUUUAGCAUGCGAGAGAGAGAGCG
Long non-coding RNA from Dicentrarchus labrax (European seabass), 728 nucleotides. RefSeq lists it as uncharacterized. The transcript is spliced from 4 exons. NCBI's taxonomy places the organism in Eukaryota, Metazoa, Chordata, Actinopteri, Moronidae. The record is from RefSeq and is a predicted model, not a curated record.